UUUUUUUUUUUAAGUAGCUGCUGAACACAUGAGAAUCUGCCUUUUUCUUGAAUUGUGUUUUUUUUUUUUUCCAAGACAGAGUCUUGCAGUUGUCGCCCAGGCUGGAGUGCUGUGGUGUGAUCUUGGCUCACUGCAACCUCCGCCUCCCGGAUUCAAGCGAUUGUCCUGCCUCAGCCUCCUGAGUAGCUGGGAUUGCAGGCACGUACCACCAUGCCCGGCUUAUUUUUGUAUUUUUAGUAGAAACAGGGUUUCACCAUGUUGGCCAGGCUGGUCUCAAACUCCCGACCUUGUGAUCCACCUGCCUCGGCCUCCUAAAGUGCUGGGUUUACAGGCGUGAACCACUGCGCCCAGCCUGAAUCAUGGUUUUUUGAAACCAUUGGCAUCUGAACCUGUAGCUCUCUCUGGUAGUGUUGUGUGGUUUUAAAUGUCAUGUGAGCUGAGUUACUGACCUCAACCUACUGCCAGCUGAAAGUGUGAUCCUGUGAUACCAAUCUUGAGGGUCCCUGCUAGUUUUAGCAGUCAGUGACUUCUCUCGUUUAUUUUUGUUUGAAAAAGAAAAAGGCUCUCUUUUUGGCUAUAGAGUUGCAUCUUGAAAUUUUUGACAAAUUACAUAGAGCUGAAGAAGGAUACAAGUUUUGAUAUCUUAAAAUCACAGGAUUGAGGCUUGAAAGGACAGUAUUGGCAUUGCAGCUAAGUGGGAGCGUGAGGAAGCGCCUUCUCUAGGGCGGGUAAUUGCAUCUGUUAAUGUGGCCCUUGGGCCCCUGAGUUGCUACCUUCCAAUCAGAAUUUCCUUAGCAUUAGCAAGUGAUGCCUGAAUGAAUCUCAGGUAGGACUUCUAACUUUUUUCCAAAAUUAUUUUUGUGCAGAGGUUUCUCUAGGAGAUUUUUCUUCUAAAUGUCCUCCUCCCCACUUGUUUUAUUGUUACUAUUUUUCUCUCUUUUUAAUUUUUUUUAAAAAUAAAGACAUGGUCUCACUAUGUUGCCCAGGCUGAUCUCAGACUCCUGGGCUCAAGUGAUCCUCCUGCCUCAGCCUCCCAAAGUGCUGGGAUUAUAGGCGUGAGCCAUUGCGCCUGGCCCUGUUACUGUUUUUCUAACCUGAGUUACUUAGGAUCCUAUUUUCAUUCUUUUUUAAAAAGAUGGGAGUUUUCUGAACUUGUCCUUAACUAAAAAGUGGAAUGCAUCUUAAUAUUUUCCUUUUUUUUACUCAUGUUUCUCCCCAGGGAGGGAAAAACAUAUUUAUUGUGACAGAAUUUAGCAUAUUUUAGGCCACAUUAAAAUACUGAUAAAUGUAUUAAUCAGUGAAAAUAGGUUAUAGUGAAAAAUAUAUACCAUUUGAUUAAUAAAUAUGUUAUUGGAAAAAUGCAAGAACUGCUGUAAGAAUUGCUAACAUUGUGUUGGAAAAUGAAUAUACUAAGCUAAGAAACAAUGGGAAACUCAUAUUUAGGGCCAACAACCUUUUUUUUUUUUCUUUUAAAAAACCCUUCUAAUUUAUUAAUAUCUAGUCUAAUAAACCCUGAUUUAUAGGACCUCUGCACCUUUUUUGACUUUUUAUUCAUCCAUUCUUAAUAUUCUACACUAUGACAAAAUCCUUUGUCUCCAUUAUUGGUGAAAUGGGAACAGACUUUUGUUUUUGUAUGUUGGUGUUCUCUGAGUGGUGAGGGCCCAGGGAGAAUGUUUUGUUUGGUGGUCACUUAGCAUUUGAAAACAUCCACUUCCUUGUGACUUAGCUGGGUAUCUUUUAACAUCCGGAAGCCAUGUCCCUGAUUGAAAUCUGUGGAGACAACUUACCUUUCACCAGCUUGUCUGCUGAAUUGCACCAUGGACCAAGAUUGCAGUGCCUGCAUCAAGUCUAGGCCUGCCCUGAAGUCUGGAUUUGUAAGUCCCCCAUUUCAAAUGGGGCAGAAGGCAGAGGAGCAGAGGAGCCACUGUGCCUUUUGCUGUCCUGGAGCCAGUUGGCCUUUUGGUUUCGGUGAACCCCACUUUAUAAGAGGACUCCCUGGCAUCUUCCAGUUUCCCGCUACUUGUUUUAUGUAUUAUUUUAUGUCUGUGUUUGUCUUGGCUGUUUGUGCUGUAGCUCCUUUCACUGUCUGCUGUAAGUUCAACUUCUUCAAUAAAAGAAAUGUUUCAAAUUGGA
RNAcentral lists this long non-coding RNA (2133 nucleotides) under Pongo abelii (Sumatran orangutan). Its description in RNAcentral is "lincRNA". Lineage: Eukaryota; Metazoa; Chordata; Mammalia; Primates; Hominidae. The record is from RNAcentral.